Molecule: long non-coding RNA, 8909 nt
Organism: Mus musculus (house mouse)
Lineage: Eukaryota; Metazoa; Chordata; Mammalia; Rodentia; Muridae
Product: predicted gene 27230
Exons: 7
Source: RefSeq, a predicted model, not a curated record
GACCCCUGCUGCAUUGAACUCUGAGUGCCCCUAUCCCUGGGAUGGUGGCCAGCAUCCCAGCUGCAAAGCUGUGGUUAGAACACUGCAGCAACAGUCAGAGAGCAAGACGAGAUCAAGAUGGAAACCGCACCCUUGCGGUUAGCAGGUGCUGAAGCAAGGGUGAAGGCCAUCUAAGAUGAAGCAGCAGCCAGGUGUGAGAGGCAAGUGCCUGGUGUUACAGUCAUGGCUCAACUCCAGCAGCUUGUGCCUGGUGAGACUGGGUUCUGUGGCCUGCUUUCCAGGGCUUCCGUGUAGUCUGGAAUCAGCUAAUGAGAACUGAGAUGAGCAGGAUUAUUUGCGUACAGAGUACAGCCAGCAAAAGACCCACCUGGAUUUUCCCAGCUUGGAUGAGUUGCUUUGUGACAGCCGUGUUUCUCUCCUGUGCACUUUGCUCGCCUAAGUUCCUACACAAACACUCCCCUCUUUCUUCACAGCUCUCAACAGGUAAGAACUCUGCUCUACUGCAGGCCCCCCACACACUGUCACUCAGUGGCUAUACCCUGCAAACAGUUUAUCAUUCUUGCCAUUUCUGUGAUGCUUAAGUGGGCUCUUCCUUCUGAGACCUUCAGACUGCAGCACACAUCACUGUGUGGUUUAAAACUACUAGAUCGGGAGACUGAAUUCUAGACCCAGUUAAGGGCUUUUCUGGGCAGUGUUUUCUUAGGUGCACAAUAAAGAAGGGAUUUGAAGUCUCCGGAUCUAGACAGGUAGGUGUUUUAUACACUGUAAAUUGACAUCUGGGAAGUUCAGAGCCUCGUAGCUCAUCUACCAUCACUGAUCUGGACUUGCAUGAGGGCCUCCACCCUUUGGUUGGGGAUAAUGUAUUCAGGCUGAUCCAAUUAUAGGCCAAAAUGUUCAGUCUUUUGCCUUUCUCAGUUCAGUCUUAGAGUCUCACUAGGUCAGUCAGGCUGGCCUGGGAUGGCAGCUUCUCUCCAGGAUGGCCUGUGUGUCUGGAGCAGGGCACUGACUUUUGUUAUCCGAUGUCAUGAUUGAAGAACGGAGGUAGUUUCCUUAGACUUGCUAUGCCCUCUGCCUCCUGCCUCUCUUAGGCCCCAUCUCUUCCUUGUUCUUUUCAUAAGGCCUGGACACACAGGCUCAGAGAAGAGAUAUUGAAGGCAUAGGAGGAUUAUGUGGUCUCUGCUUAAAUCAAUGACUGCAGCUCCAGAACAGUUGUCCACAAUUUGGAAAGGACGGGGUGUUUACAGAAAGGGGUCAGAGCACAGGCUAUGUUUUAUCUAUCUCUAGAGGCUUCUUGGCUGAUAUAGUGCGUGCACACGGGGGGAGGGGGAGAAGGGGGAGCAUGUGUGUGUGUGUGUGUGUGUGUGUGUGACUGUCUGUCUGCCUAUGUCUGUGAGUCUGCUUACCAUUACCACACAGGGUUCUAAUGGCACCAGCUAGCUCCUUGGUCCAAGGGGUCCAUUCAAAUCCUGUGCUGUGAGGUCACCUCUAGAACUCCAGGGUGAGUUCUCAUGGGCCCCACCUCAGAGUUAGGUCACAGGGUAGCAAAAGCAGGCUCCGUGUUGUUCUGUGCACCUUGUUACAGUCUCAGAGUGUGUGGGGCUUUGUUCCCUAGAAUAGUAGCCAUUACUGUCUGAAUCGAAGCAGCUGCGACUGCCCACAGUCAGCCCUCAAGAUCCAAUCUGCUGAGAUGUCCUCUUAGGAGAGGCUGGAGAGUGUGGUUUGACACUCAGCUGAGCAUCCAGGCACUCUGUCCUGCCCCUCCCCACCAUCCAGUUGCAUGUAAUUGUGUCCUGGCUGCAUGUGGUGUUGGGAGGUUACGUUAGGAGGGAGAGUGACAAAGCCAUCUAUUGCAGCUAUGGAGAAGGCCUUAUCUAAAGUGGACUUUUUUUUUUUUUUUGGUGAUUCAGUUGUUUGGGGGUCAGUAGGCCUCCAAUAAGUACACUGGUUCAUGACACUACAUGUGGAUUGAGUGUUUAGUUUGUCGUUGGUACCUUAUGUAGGGUAAAUGCAUUCAUUACAUCUAUCUAGGACACAUUUGUGCAACACUUGGUGCCCUGAUAGGGAUGAGGCAGAGCCACAUGUUGCUUGGAAAGAGCAGUUACAUUGUUCCUGCCCUGGGAGAUAGGACAUGCCACUACAGAUAACUCUCUUUCGGGGGAGCGUCCAUAGAGAGGAUCCUGGCACAAGCAUCCUCCGUGUAGUGUGGAAUGGAAUGCCUCCUGCUGUAGUGCCAGUUGAUCCCUGACCCCACUGAGUAAUAUGACACGAAACAAGACUGAGCUGUAUUCCCAGAGGGGAGUGAAAGUGGAAAGUUUGGGGGUACGGUGGGGGAGUCUCGGUGGGGUUCUCUUCCUCUAUAACCUAUGAAUCCUUGAUGAAUGUGGCUUAACAUCCUGAGAAUGACCAAUGGACCAGAGAGGACAUUGCAGAUUCUGAACAUGGUGUGUAUGGAGCAGGGUUCCCAGAAAGCUCAGGCGGACAUUACAACCGCAGCUGCUGUGCAAUAAGACAUCAACUGAGACAGAGCUGUCUGCCUAGAAAGAGCUUGCUGGUAUAAAGCACAGAAAGAGGCAUGAGGCCACCCCCCACUCUCGCCUCUGCACUGAGAGGGAAAUGGAGAUGUUGGCUUGCCAUUUCUCUUCUCUCUUUCUUUUUAAUUACUGAUUUUUAUAAGUGUUUUACCUGCAUGCAUGUCUAUGCGCUACAUGUAUGUCUAGUGCCAAGGGAAGCCAGAAGAGGGUGUCAGAUCCCCUGGGAUUUGAGUUGCAAACAUCUAUAAGCUGCCAUGUGGGUGCUGGGAAUUGAACCCCGGUCCUCUAGAAGAGAAGCCAGUGCUCUUAACCUCUGAGCCAUCUCUCCAUCCCCAGCUUGGUAUUUCUUAGUGCCGAGGUGACAGGGGGGAAAAAAACCAUGCUAUACUUCUGUUGUAACACCUCAGGUGACCCCCAAACCUGGAGCCCACUGGAAGAAUCUAACAAAGGGGAGGGGAAAUGCAGUAGAAGAGAUAGUGAGGGAAGCAAGCAUGGAGAGAGAUGUGUGCUGUCCGUUCACGGAGCCAGCCAGCACUGGAGACCAGCAAGGGAGUCAGUGCAGCAAGGGAGUCAGUGCAGCAAGGGAGUCAGUGCAGCAAGGGAGUCAGUGCAGCAAGGGAGUCAGUGCAGCAAGGGAGUCAGUGCAGCAAGGGAGUCAGUGCAGCGAGGGAGUCAGUGCAGCAAGGGAGUCAGUGCAGCAAGGGCCUUAGGAUUGGGAUGCAGCUUGUAAGGUUUACUGAGCCUUAUGGUUGAACGUGAUUUCAAUAGAGAAGAGAGGCCUGGGGGAUCUGAAUAGCUUUGACAUGCGGAUCCAGGUUAUAAAGUGUUAAAGCAACCAAGAAUGGAUAAGACCAAGAAAAGACAGUGAAGGGUACUCCCGGGGUCACCGAAAAGCACACAUGGCAGGAUCUGUGUUGAGCUGGAGAGCCUGGGGGGAAACCGGCAAACUGACAUUGACUGGUGAUCUUUGGAAGGCUUUAAAACCCACAGCAGGCAAACAAGAGAGGUACACACCCCUCUCUAUGCCAGCAAAGAGAUCUUGUGGGCUGGGGACCGCAGCAGUAGCGUCCCUAACUGGUGGGUAGUGAGGGCACAGACAAAAGUCUCCCACAGAUGAAGACCAUGUAGAGCGACCAGAGCCCUAUGUUGAAUUGAGGAUGCCUUGGGUCUCUACUUAUGUGUAUGCCAUUGGCGCCAUGUGGCUGCCAGAGCCAGGUGUGCCUUGGUUCUGGUGGCUCUCCAGGGCAUCUUCAUCAGUAACCAUCAGCUGGUGUAGGUAGACAGGAUUAAGCUGGACUUAGGGAUAGGUAACCCCUCCCCACGCCCCCAUUCCUAAGUAUGUGGUACAAGUGUCUUCCUUGGGUGUCAAGACUGUUUGCCCAUCCAGGAUUCGCUUCCGGCAGCCAGGUAUGGCUGAAGAGGAGGCACAAUUGGCAUCUCUGGUCCAGAGACCACAGUGUGCUGUGUAGUGUGAGCCUUUUCUGUACCUAUCCUGAGUAAAUUACUUCCCCAGGAAAAGAGCAGGUGGGAAGAGAAGGGGGCGGGGGAGAGACCUCUACAACCCACUGAUAAUUUCCUUCUUACACUGUCUUGGUGUGAGAAAGGUUUUUCCCUCCUGAAGCUUCUCUCUCUACCACAUUCUUCCUUAGCAAAGAGCAACAUGCUUCUUGGUGUAGCUCUGGAGUAAGCAUGAACACAUGUGCAUAUGUAUGUGUGCAUACGUAUAUGUGUGCACAUGUGUGAGAGAGAACAGAAUGAGAGAGUCUUCUUUGUUACACGAGAGCUUUGUGUUGUUUCCUUCAGACUGAAUUAUUAACAUGCUCAAAGGGAAGUAAGAAUUCUAAAAUUCUGUUGUGAUUAAAAAAAAAGUUCCAUUUGGGGACUGACAUCUUUCUGCAAGACAGCAUUCUGAGUAUCAAACGUUCUAUGUAUCAACUCCUCUUUCUGCUCAUGUUUGUAACUAACCACAGUCCUCCCGACACACGGGAGAGCUUAUGCAAAUGAGCCCAGAAGGAAGUCUGUACUCACAAAGGGAAUGAAGUAAACACAUUAACUUUUUUUUCUCAAUACCACCUGUGUUGUAAUGAAAGGAAAAGGCAAAAUGAGGUGCAGCACAAAAUAACCAGGAGAAACCAGCCCUGCUCUGAAGCAGUUAUGCUCUGAAAUGCUCGUCAAGUGCCUCAAAAACAGAGAUUCAAAUUUAGAUUUGAAUUUUUUUUAUGGGUUAAUUUGAGGAAAACUGGCAUCUUCAGACAGUGAGUCGUCCACCCACUCGCACAUAUGCUGGCUGCACAUACGGAGUCAGGUGCUCGUAAUGGCCUCUAAAGGUUUUAGUUCUUGGGGUUAGAAUCGACAGCAGGGACAGAGAGGGAUGGUCUUGCUGCUGACCCCAGCAUGCACAUAGGGUGGCUCACAGCUGCCCUCAACCUCAACUCUUCUGGCCCCUGCACACAUACACACACACACACACACACACACACACACACACACACACACAUGUGCACAUGCACACACCCACACAUCUUACAAAGGAGCUAGUUCUUUCUUCACUUAGAUCUUCUGUAUGCUUCGUUAUCUCACUGUUCCAUAUAUUUAGCAGCUGAUUCACUCAUGGAUGGUAUUAUUUUUGAUGUCAUAUUUUCUCCUUAAUUAUUUCUGCUAUAAUUGAUACACUUUUGGGUUUUAUGAAUUGAUGUUGCAUUUGGCAGAUCUCUAAACAUCUGGAUUGAUUUUUAGAAUUCUGGCAGGUUGAUGAUCCUCCAGCUUGUCCAUUCUGUAUUGUAACCCAGGAUAUUUGAGCAGACUGCUUCUUUUUUGACUCCUUGAGUCCCCUUUCAUGUGGUGGGAAUUGGUAUUUCUAGAAAGUUUGGUGGAACUUGUCUAAUUCUGGAGCUAGAGGCGUGGUUUUGUUUUGUUUUGUUUAAAUGGAAGAGUGAAUCAUGUUUUCAAUUUCAUUGAAUCCAUUUUUAUUGUAUAUUUGCUCUUGUAUCAAUUUUGGUCCUAAGCCGGGCAUGGUGGUGCACGCCUUUAAUCCCAGCACUUGAGAGGCAGAGGUAGGCAGAUUUCUGAGUUUGAUGCCAGCCUGGUCUAGAAAGUGAGUUCCAGGACAGCCAGGGCUAUACAGAGAAACCCUGUCUCAAAAAACCAAACAAACAAACAAACAAAAAUUUUGGCCCUACAUACUUUCUAACAUAUUGCUUUUGCCUAUAUUUUACUACACUAGUGUGUUUAUAUUUCUAUAUAAAACCUCACAUCUAUAAUUUUUCUGUAUCUUAUUUGCAAUGUCUUGUACAUGUGGCAUACAUACAUGAAGUCACAUGUCAUAGCAUGCAUAUGGGCUCUUCCACAUGGGUCGGGACUCAGGUUUUAGGUUUGUUAAGCAUCUUUAUCUGCUGAGUCUCACAAGCCUUUGCAAUGUCUUUUUUCUUUUCUUUUCUUUUCUUUUUUUUUUUUUUUUUUUUGCUAGAAAUGUGUUUGGCGGCUUUUUAAAAAAAGAUUUAUUUAUUUAUUUAUUUAUUUAUUAUGUGAAUACACUGUAGCUGUGCAGAUGGUUGUGAGCCUUCAUGUGGUUGUUGGAAAUUGAAUUUUUAGGACCUCUGUUCGCUCCAGUCAGCCCUGCUCCCUCCGGUUAACUCCACUCGUUCAGUCCCUGCUUGCUCCAGCUGCAUAUACAUCUGCCUGCCUGAAGAGGGCAUCAGAUCCCCCUGUAGAUGGUUGUGAGCCACCGUGUGGUUGCUGGGAUUUGAACUCAGGACCUUUGGAAGAGCAGUCAGUGCUCUUACCCACUGAGCCAUCUCACAAGCCCACCUGGCAGAUCUUUUACAAUUUAGGUUUUGCUUUCCCUGCAUUUCUCUAUUUGUGUGUGUGUGUCCACUGUCUGAUAUUUUAUUAUUUAUUUUUUAAAAACUCUUAUUUUUGAAAAUCUCACACAUGUAUGCAAAGUACCUUGAUCUUACUUACCCCCAACUCUCUCCCCAGAAUAUUUUAUUUUUUUAAUCUCUUUCCCAAGGCUAACCCUUCUGUUCACUUUCCUCAGAAGAGCACUUAAGCUACAUAUUUCCCUCUAACUCGUGAUUUGAUGAGCCUUAGAGGUUUUCUCCUGUGUGUGCCAUUUCAUUUUACAGAGGGUUUUGUUGGAGUUUGUUGCUGUUGUUGUUUCUAGACAUGGAGACAUGUGCCUCUUUCUUUUUCUAUUAUUGGUCUUGCAUUUUAUUGCUUAUAGUCAGAGAAUACAUAGUUUGCUUCUUUGGGAUUUAUCAUGGCUUCCUCUCUGUUCUGUUAUGCAGUGAUGUGUAUAAAGAGAAAGAAGUACAUUUUCUUUUAAAGAUGAUGGAUGCAUAAUAGGUAAAUUGAAGUCAUGGUGGUGGCAUGCACCUGUAAUUCAGUACAAGCUGCAGAGGCAGGAGGAUUACCACCAUGCUCUACACAGUGAGUUCCUGGCCAGCCAUGGCUAUGUAGAGUCUGUCUUAAAAACCAGUCAACAGACAAAAGUGCUAUGCCCAUAGGUUCAAGUUCUUAAUAUUGUUAUUUAAGUCUUCCUUAUAUUGGUUUUUUUCGUUUGUUUGUUUGUUUGUUUGUUUUUGUUUUGUUUUGUUUUGUCUGAACGAAAGUUGGCCUUUGGGACUUAAAAUGUCAUAAUCCUAGAGUUUAGUGUCAGAGAAAACACUGGCUGAUCAGUGGAGGAGGGACCGGAAUUGUUUUCUGUUGACUUCUAUCCUCUUAAUUCAAUUGGAGUCUGCGACACUGAGAGCUCCCUGAAUGGAGGUGUGUAUUCUAUGGUUCUUGUUUUGGACAGAGGGGAUAUGAAGGAGAUGGACUGAAUGCCUCCAUGGGGUGUUCAAGUGGAUAUAAAAAAUAUGUUUGACGUGUGUGUGUGUGUGUGCGCGCGCGCGCGUGUGUGUGUGUGUGUGUGUGUGUGUGUGUGUGUGCGCACGCACGUGUCUCAGCACAUGUGUGGCAAUCAGGGGAUGGUUUGGGGGGCCUUCUCUCUGCCUUCCAUUUCACUUUAGGAAUGCAGCAGUGCAGAUGUGUCUUAUUUGGCUUUUUAUGGAGGUGCUGGGUAUCGAACUCUGGUCCUCAGACUUGCAGGACAAGCACUUUUAUUUUUAUUUGCCUUAUCCAUCUCACUGGCUCCACCAAGAAAGUGUCCAAAAGUUGCUUGGAUAUAAGACUUGUGGCUAACACAGUCUGGAGAGAGACGAUACUGCUUAGGUAUAUGUGAGUGUAUGUAUGCAUAUGUGUAGGGAAGUAUGCCUUUCUGGAGCUAAAACAGGAGGGCACCACAAAGCACUGCAUGGAGGCAUCAGCAGACAGCCGAGGAGAGGGAAGAGAACGCCUCUUGUCACCUCUGAAGCCUUGAAGUUGUGUGUAGGUGCAUUAACCUGCAUUGGCUAUUCAACAACACACCAUUCACAUGGUAUAACAAUAAAAAAAAAAGUGCUAACACUCCACAGCCAGGAAGAAGGAAAACAUCUGAAGAUGUGAAAGGGAGCAAAUGAGCAAGCCGAUGGACCGGCUUUGUGCCAAUUAUCUUCACUACGUUGUCUUUUAUGCGAAGAGACUCGCUCAGCGGCAGAGAGCCCUUCAAUUCCAGCAGAGAGGGCAGACUGUCAUCCGAGCUCGGCCCAUCCUGCUGUCUGCGCUCUCCAGAGAGCGUGCUUGAUCCUGAUAAACAGACUGCGAGCCAGGCAUGUGACUGAACGUGACUGAACUUCUUAAGGGAAAUAGAAGACAUAAAGGCGCCCCUCCCACACCCUCACAGCAGAAUUUGUCAGGCAGGGCCAUCCUCUCAAUGGGGAUGAUGCUUUUCCAAAAGCCUGCCUUUCAGACUGUCUGAAGUGAGAUAGAGGGUACUUACUGUUAUCGUUGUGUGGCACGAGGCCCUUCAGGUUGCCUUAGCUGAUGUCAUUCAUCUGCCAGGCCCCUCUCUUGGGAUUCAGUAUCAUCUAGAAGCUGUCUCCUGAAUGAUGUGCUACCCCGCUAGGAACUGCAGACAAAGAUACUGUCUGUGUUAGUUACUUCCUCAUAGCUCUGACCACACGUCAGACUAUCCCAGCAUCCUCAAGAUUUCAACAUGAGAAAGCAAGAAAGGUCUUGAAGUCUGGACCCUUCCAGUAACUACUAGAAGUCCUAUUGGAGGAUUUACUACCCCACCCAAAGGGCUACUCUGGGCUUCCGGCCACCGUUCAGUUUCUCAGUGCCGGUAGUCAAUAACAACUGGAUUCAAGAUCAAGCAUUCCAACACAAUUCAAUCCAACAAUAUGCUAAUUUGAUGCUCACAUAGUAAAGAAUGAUGAAACGAGAGAGCUGGCGAGAUGGCUCAGCCGGUUAGAGCACUGACUGCUCUUCCAAAGGUCCUGAGUUCAAAUCCCACCAACC